GAUGAACGCUGGCGGCGUGCCUAAUACAUGCAAGUCGAGCGAACAGACGAGGAGCUUGCUCCUCUGACGUUAGCGGCGGACGGGUGAGUAACACGUGGAUAACCUACCUAUAAGACUGGGAUAACUUCGGGAAACCGGAGCUAAUACCGGAUAAUAUAUUGAACCGCAUGGUUCAAUAGUGAAAGACGGUUUUGCUGUCACUUAUAGAUGGAUCCGCGCCGCAUUAGCUAGUUGGUAAGGUAACGGCUUACCAAGGCAACGAUGCGUAGCCGACCUGAGAGGGUGAUCGGCCACACUGGAACUGAGACACGGUCCAGACUCCUACGGGAGGCAGCAGUAGGGAAUCUUCCGCAAUGGGCGAAAGCUUGACGGACCAACGCCGCGUGAGUGAUGAAGGUCUUCGGAUCGUAAAACUCUGUUAUUAGGGAAGAACAAAUGUGUAAGUAACUAUGCACGUCUUGACGGUACCUAAUCAGAAAGCCACGGCUAACUACGUG
Molecule: ribosomal RNA, 497 nt
Filed under: uncultured bacterium
Lineage: Bacteria
Description: partial 16S ribosomal RNA
Rfam family: Bacterial small subunit ribosomal RNA
Source: RNAcentral